This is a non-coding RNA of Ictidomys tridecemlineatus (thirteen-lined ground squirrel), 1268 nucleotides long. The record is from RefSeq and is a predicted model, not a curated record. NCBI's taxonomy places the organism in Eukaryota, Metazoa, Chordata, Mammalia, Rodentia, Sciuridae.
AAAAAAAAAAACUCUUAAUUGGCUUUAUGUCUUACUCUAGAAUUGGGCAACACUUCAUUCCAGGUGUUCUCCAGUUCUGCUAUUUUCGUUACCCUGCAUUUAACAGAUUGCGAUGAGACAAUGCGCACGGAGGGCUCUUCCACCACUGAGGCUUAAGAGUGGAUCUGAGUGCCCUGGAAAUAGACCUUACAGGGUAAAACAAAACACUGGCUCAAAACAAGGAAGCGAACCAACAAAAGGCCCCACAGAUGGAAAACCUGCCACCUUCCGCCACCUCCCAAAGGUGGAGCCGGCCAGGAGCCGGGUUCCCGAGCGCGCUCCCGGGAGGGCCUGGUAUGGAGAGUCCGGACUUAGGUGGAGGCCCUGUGGCGCGGGCUCCAGGACCCUCGGCCCCGGAGGCUGCAAGCCAGGUCCUUCUGAAGUGUGUCUGGAGUGAACCAGAAAGAAUACAAACGCAUGAAUUCAACAGAGGAUGUUCUGACCAGUGUGCAGUCUACCAGUGCCCUCGGUUUCCUUAAAAUGCUCAAAGAGAAGGAGAAAUAAAGGGGGAAAGCCAGGCCAAAGGCCCUCCAAGGACCCACACGUCCUCCAGGACCCAGUGCUGUGGUGGACUCUAACAUACCCAGACCUCCCUCUGCUUGGGAAGCUGGCCCAAGAGGAUCUGGGGAAGACUCACAGCAGUGUCACAUUUGAGGUGACAUUUAAUGAGAGUAUUAGACAUGGAAAAUGACAACCCCCAAAAGUAGGGGGCCCUGGGAUAAGGAAGUGAGAAGGAAAGCCCAACGUUGAGAGCACUGAUCCUUUCCCAGUGACAGAACAAACCCUGAGGAAGAGGUGUCCAUCAGCCCUAGAAAGGCAGUCUCCGGGAAGAGGCUGAAGCAUUAACCCUUCUAAAAAUAAAUCCUUUCCAGAUAACCUUCACUGACCCCAGGCCCUCCUUCAGGUCCAAUACAAUAAAUUCCAGAAACUGACUACUGACCCUAGACUCCCUCCCAUUUCAAACAAACCCUCAAUUCCUAAGCACUAAAACUGACUCCUUCACUGACUGAUAGAGCAAACUCCAAAUUCCUGGGUGCCCAGAGAAAAUUGACAUGGUCACCAGACCACCUCUCAGAAUAACCUGUAUAGGCCCAGGCCCCUUCUUUGUUUGGGGGCUCAUUUUCCACCAGGAAAGUGGGUCCCACCACAGCUCAUUUCAUUCCUGCAUCCCCUGCUUCUGUGUGAAAUUUCCUUUCUGAAUGAAGCGCUGAGCAGAUUUGUGAAGUUUG